This 559-nucleotide long non-coding RNA is filed under the name Citrus sinensis (sweet orange). RNAcentral describes it as "long non-coding RNA (CSIN_LNC004060)". The record is from RNAcentral. Lineage: Eukaryota; Viridiplantae; Streptophyta; Magnoliopsida; Sapindales; Rutaceae.
CGACAGCCUAUAAACGGACGCAAGUUAAUAUCGGUACGGCCGACCAUCGAAUCACCGUCGAAACCAAAAUCUACGGCGCAGGACCAGGUUUAAGAGAAGUAGUCAUCAUCGAACGAAACUCUUCAAAAUUCACAUUGCCAUCACCAUCGGCAUCCACCGGCUUAAUCAUCGCCACACAUCCAUCAACCGAGCACUUAAUUCCGAGCCUGUUCAACACCAAAUUCAACUCCUCCGCCGAAAUCAAGCCGUUCUUGUCCUGAUCGUAGAGAUCAAACGCCUCGCGGAGCUCGGCCUCGCCGGCGGCACCAGAGGAGGUCCGGCAGAUCGUUUCGAACUCCGACAGGCUGAUGAAUCCGUCCUUGUCGGUAUCGAGAUCCUCCAUGACGCGGACGAGCUCCUCCUCUUUGUAGCUCGAUCCCAUUGAUUUCAAAACGGUCGCCAGCUCCGUCAGCGAGAUCUUGCCGUCCUUGUUCGCGUCGAACUGGUUGAAGAUCUUCUGCAUCUCCUCCCGGCUCACUAUUAGCUGUUUCCUAUUCGAAUCUGCCUCCGUUGUUGCUGC